RNAcentral lists this transfer RNA (57 nucleotides) under Sphaerodactylus townsendi. Its description in RNAcentral is "tRNA-Thr". The record is from RNAcentral. Lineage: Eukaryota; Metazoa; Chordata; Lepidosauria; Squamata; Sphaerodactylidae.
GGCUUAAUGGUAAAGCAUCUGCUUGGUGUGCAGAAGGUCCAAGUUCAACCACUGGCA